This is a long non-coding RNA of Musca domestica (house fly), 1258 nucleotides long. RefSeq lists it as uncharacterized. NCBI's taxonomy places the organism in Eukaryota, Metazoa, Arthropoda, Insecta, Diptera, Muscidae. The record is from RefSeq and is a predicted model, not a curated record. The transcript has 3 exons.
UUCGAAUCCUUUUGGCGACCAAAAAUGAUUAACUGACUUGUAUGAUCGAAAAGCGACUCGAAAAUGACUCUCUCUAAUGAGUGGAAAGAGAUAAAUUUAAUAUACAACAACAAAAUGUAGGGGAAUCGCAAAUCAGUCAUUGAGAUGUGCAAAAUGUGACAAUUUUUCCGUUAUUUAUUAUUGUAUUGCAAUCAUCUAAAGAUUGAAAAAUGAUUAGUCUUAAAAAGAUCUUGCAGCUGUUUGAAAAGUGAUCAGAAUUAUGUAUUUUUUGAUCACAUUUUGCACAGAUAAGUGCAUAAAUGCUGCUUUUUUUGUUAUGCAAGGGUCAUUUUGUUUCUUGACUGACUAUUAAAAAGUUGAAUUACUGUUCAUUUAUAAAAAGUGCAUGGAGGCGUCAACAGCAAAAGUGUAUAAUAUUGAAAAGUAAAAAAAAUAUGAAAAAGUGUACCUUUAUCUCUUUGUUUAUUUAUUAAUUUUUAUAAAAAAAAAAAUGUCAGCAAGUUAAAUUACAAAAAUAGAAAAGUCUCAAAUAAAAACAAUGGCAAAAGAGAGGCAGAAAAUUUAAUUUUGGAAAAAAGAAGUAAAACUGAAUAUGAGAAAAAUGAAGAAAAUGUCCAGAAACGUGAAUUGGUGAAGCAAAAUGAUACAUAACAUGAUUUAAAGAGUUUAUUGCGAAAGGUUUUAACAGAUAAAUUAGCCUGCCAAUACAGCUGGAAGGGGACAGGGUACAACUGAGUGGAGAAAAGUGUUAUUUAUUUACAGUAAUCAAAAAUAUGUGUCAUCUCAAAUACUCAAGCAACGACAAGGAUAUGAACACAAUCCUACAAAAACAUUUUAUUCACGCUAGAGACCGCGUUACAAAUAGAAGACUGCCCAAUUGCAGUUCCUGAUUUUUUAUUUUUCAUUUUUUUAUUUCAUUUUCUUACAUUUUUUUUUUUAUUUUCUUAUUUAAUUUUUUACUAUAUUUUUUACAAUCGCAUUUAUUGAUAUUACGGUACAAAUUAUAAUCAUAAAAGCUGAAUUAUUUUUAUUUUAAAUAAAUUAUUAUAUGAACAUAUAUAAUUAAAUUCUUUUUUACGGAACAUCCAAAAAAUGAAUUAAAAAAGACUCGAAAAAGAUUCACAAAUUAAGCGUUUUAGCGCAACAAAUUAUUAGAAAACUACUCGAAAAAGACUCGUAGAACGAUCAGAAAAUGGUCGAAAAAGACUCUUAACUAAUCUAGAUGAAGGCUCAUAUGUGAUUUAUUUAGAAGAGUCGC